This 488-nucleotide small RNA is filed under the name Pongo abelii (Sumatran orangutan). Its description in RNAcentral is "processed transcript". Lineage: Eukaryota; Metazoa; Chordata; Mammalia; Primates; Hominidae. The record is from RNAcentral.
CCAUGGACUCGGGAACCGAGGAGUACGAGCUCAACGGCGGCCUGCCUCCGGGCACACCCGGCUCCCCGGACGCCUCGCCGGCCCGCUGGGGCUGGAGGCACGGGCCCAUCAACGUGAACCAUUACGCCAACAAGAAGAGCGCAGCCGAGAGCAUGCUGGACAUCGCGCUGCUGAUGGCCAACGCGUCCCAGCUGAAGGCCGUCGUGGAACAGGGCCCCAGCUUCGCCUUCUAUGUGCCCCUGGUGGUCCUCAUCUCCAUCUCCCUUGCACUGCAGAUCGGCGUGGGGGUGCUGCUCAUCUUCCUUGGUAGGUCCCCGGGAGGGGGCAGCCGGGCCACCUGCUCACCUUGCUGGCAUCUGCUCGCAUCCCCUGGGACACGAGCCCACCACCUUGCACACUUGGAUCUCAAGGAGCUGCUGAGUUCCUGGCCCUCAUCACCCAGACAUGCAGUCCAGGAAGUGGCACCCCCCUGCCCCCAACCCUGCACU